This 480-nucleotide ribosomal RNA is filed under the name uncultured bacterium. Its description in RNAcentral is "bacterial SSU rRNA". It matches the Rfam family "Bacterial small subunit ribosomal RNA", at positions 30 to 506 of the family's 1533-position model. The record is from RNAcentral.
UUGAACGCUGGCGGCAUGCUUUACACAUGCAAGUCGAACGGUAACAGGCCUUCGGGUGCUGACGAGUGGCGAACGGGUGAGUAAUGCAUCGGAACGUGCCCAAUCGUGGGGGAUAACGUAGCGAAAGUUACGCUAAUACCGCAUACGCCCUGAGGGGGAAAGCGGGGGACCUUCGGGCCUCGCGCGAUUGGAGCGGCUGAUGUCGGAUUAGCUAGUUGGUGGGGUAAAGGCCUACCAAGGCGACGAUCCGUAGCUGGUCUGAGAGGAUGAUCAGCCACACUGGGACUGAGACACGGCCCAGACUCCUACGGGAGGCAGCAGUGGGGAAUUUUGGACAAUGGGCGCAAGCCUGAUCCAGCCAUGCCGCGUGAGUGAAGAAGGCCUUCGGGUUGUAAAGCUCUUUCAGACGGAAAGAAAUCGGGCGCGUGAAUAGCGUGCCUGGAUGACGGUACUGUCAGAAGAAGCACCGGCUAACUACGU